This 253-nucleotide ribosomal RNA is filed under the name uncultured bacterium. RNAcentral describes it as "partial 16S ribosomal RNA". It matches the Rfam family "Bacterial small subunit ribosomal RNA", at positions 524 to 776 of the family's 1533-position model. The record is from RNAcentral.
UACGGGGGGGGCACGCGUUGUUCGGAAUUACUGGGCGUAAAGGGCUCGUAGGUGGCCAACUAAGUCAGACGUGAAAUCCCCCGGCUUAACCGGGGAACUGCGUCUGAUACUGGAUGGCUUGAGUUCGGGAGAGGGAUGCGGAAUUCCAGGUGUAGCGGUGAAAUGCGUAGAUAUCUGGAGGAACACCGGUGGCGAAGGCGGCAUCCUGGACCGACACUGACGCUGAGGAGCGAAAGCCAGGGGAGCAAACGGG